Molecule: microRNA precursor, 59 nt
Filed under: Limulus polyphemus (Atlantic horseshoe crab)
Lineage: Eukaryota; Metazoa; Arthropoda; Merostomata; Xiphosura; Limulidae
Description: Lpo-Mir-124-P23_pre stem-loop
Source: RNAcentral
CGUAUUCAUCUCUUGCCUCGAUGUGUUUCAGAAACCAUAAGGCACGCGGUGAAUGCCAA